UGGGGAAUUUUGGACAAUGGGGGCAACCCUGGAUCCAGCCAUGCCGCGUGCGGGAAGAAGGCCUUCGGGUUGUAAACCGCUUUUGUCAGGGAAGAAAUCUUUCGGGUCAAUACCCCGGGGGGAUGACGGUACCUGGAGAAUAAGCACCGGCUAACUACGUGCCAGCAGCCGCGGUAAUACGUAGGGUGCAAGCGUUAAUCGGAAUUACUGGGCGUAAAGCGUGCGCAGGCGGUCGUGCAAGACAGAUGUGAAAUCCCCGGGCUCAACCUGGGAACUGCAUUUGUGACUGCACGACUGGAGUGCGGCAGAGGGGGAUGGAAUUCCGCGUGUAGCAGUGAAAUGCGUAGAUAUGCGGAGGAACACCGAUGGCGAAGGCAAUCCCCUGGGCCUGCACUGACGCUCAUGCACGAAAGCGUGGGGAGCAAAACAGGAUUAGAUACCCCUGGUAGUCCACGCCCUAAACGAUGUCAACUGGUUGUUGAGUGGGUUUCUACUCAGUAACGUAGCUAACGCGUGAAGUUGACCGCCUGGGGAGUACGGCCGCAAGGUUG
Molecule: ribosomal RNA, 551 nt
Filed under: uncultured bacterium
Lineage: Bacteria
Description: bacterial SSU rRNA
Rfam family: Bacterial small subunit ribosomal RNA
Source: RNAcentral